GGAAGAUGUGGGUACACUGAUUACCCUCAGGGCUUGGAUCCAUGGUGCAAUUUAUGCAAAUGCAAACCUGGUUUAAAAGGUUCCUGUCCUGCCUGUUAGCCCUUUCCCCACCCUCAUCGUUCCUUCCCACCCCAGUGUGCUUUAUGUAGCUCUUCCUUGGAUCACGCUCCAACUCAGAAGAGUGAUGUGGUUCAGGUUAAACCCAAACUGGGAAGUUUAAGGUGAUAUUUUAAGAUCUUUUUUUGAAAGUGUGCUUAGACCAAAGAGGCUCUGCUCUGAAUCUGUGGGCAAAGCUGGAAUGACAAGCAGGCAAUGUCCAACCUGCUCUGCACAUGUCUCCACAUACCAAGGGAAAAGAUGCUUUAACUGCAUUUUCAGUGCUGCCCUGUUUGAAUGGAAGACAAAGCAGUGUGAGAGCAGAGGGUCACGCUACGCAGAGGGACUCAGCUCUGAGUUUCAGCAAGAACAAAAGCAUGUUGUUACCCCGAGGAACUGUCGGUGGGCACAGAUGCAGCUGUGGUGUGAUGCCAGGAUUGCCACGAGGUGCCCGAGCAUGCUGAUUUCCCGCAGACCCAUGCUGAGGACCUUCCAAGGGGGAAAUAGCUCCCGGCAGCUACCAGCCCCGUGCUGUUCCUGCUGUCACGACAAGGAGAAAAUGCUUCACAGGACGGUGAGCUCAGCUCAGCGGCACAGAAAUAGCUGGACACAACUGGAAAAGUUCCCUGGAAAAGGUAAUUAUGUGAUUCCUGCUUAUUCAGAGGCUGAAUUUGUCCCAGUAGGGUCAGGGCAUAGAGGUGGUUUCUGCACUGCCUAGUGGACUUCUGGACUGCAUCCCAGUCCAGCUCCCAGCCCAAGGUACCUGGUGUCUCUGAGGACACCGGGCUUUUCUGGGUGGUGACCUCUCAGGGCAGCUCCUUCUGCACACCAUCAGCAUCCUGCCGUUUGAGGGAGACCUCGCUUUUCUGCCCCCCUUUUGUCUUAUGACCAAAGGUGACAGCAACUCUCUACUAACGAAAUGAGCAGAGGGAGGACCUCAGGGCUGGGGGAGCUGAGGCCAGAGGCAGAAGCAGCAGCAAGGAGGCCAGAGAGAGGCAGGGAGAGCAAGGGCACAGGUCCCCAGGGUGGGGAGCCCAGAGGUGCUCGUACUGGAGGGAGCAGCAGAAGCGCUUCAGGGAGGGCAGGAGAGAUGCAGGGAAAGGAGAAAGCCCCUGGCACACCCUAGGCUUGGGUCUGAUCCCCGCAGUGCCUGGAGAUGUACAAGCUAACAAAACACAUCUCAGCACACCCUCCUCCUUCCAGGUUCUCCCUGGGUUGAGACAGUAUCUUUGUUCUAAUAGGAGGAAUGUUUUUUAGCUCGGCUCUGGUUGUUUUGCUGGAUCUGUACUGCAUUAAACAGCCCAUCUUCUGGUUUAUAUUUUUUCCAGUUAUCAUAUUUCAUGUAUCCUGGCUCCUUUCAUCCAGCUCCGUAUCCCCCCAAGCAGAGACUAAGCAGGAUCCAGUCCUUGAGCUCGCUGCUCUCACGUGCACAGGAGUGAUGAUGAGCCCCCUGCCCCCCGUUUCCCUGCUGAGCUGUGGGAGCUUUAAUGCCAGGGCAUGCGAUUCUUUCCCGUGUUCUCCGCUCAGUCUGUCACCCAGAUCCUGCUGCCACGGCUGAGGGCUAGGGCUCGGUGGUGGUGUGUGCUGCCCCGCAGGCUUCACAUGGCAAGCUGGUUCUGAAGUCAGGCUGCACCAGUGACAGCAAGCCAGGGGUUGUGCUUAUUUCUUGUAUAACCUGGAUUUUCACUGUGGGUGCAUUAUAGGAGUGCAUCCAAGCAUGGUGGUGGCCUGACAUUACUUUUAGAAGUCCACUCUUUGGUAGAGCACUGUAACUUCUCUCAAACCUCCUGCAGGUCAGUGUUGUUGUGGUGGGAGUGCCUGUGAUCCUGCCACUGCCAGUCCCGUCCCUGUCUGUCUGCAGGCACCGGGACAGGUAAAGAGCUUCUCUGUCUUGGAAAUCUUCACAAACAGGCAUCUGAAACACAAGAAAAAUCAUCUGCAAACUGGAGUUGUGCAUUCCCCUACUUGCUCUAUCUGUCUUCCCAGGGCACAAACACCUUGGGGAAAUUCGGGCUUUGAGCCUCUGCAGGAUUUGCUUCUGGUUGUGUCCCAGAUGCCUUCAGCUCUGGUAGCUGCUCAAAUGUCAUUCUCCUGCAGUUCGCAAGGCCUGGGAGCAGGCUUCCAUGGGAGCAGGUCAAUUUACAUUGAGCUCCCUUUCACAAUCUCAGGCAAGCCCCUGAAAGCAUUGAUCUUUGUCCAUACAACUCUGGCUGUGUUUGCCCGAGGAAGGUGGCGCAGCCCAGAGGAGCUCCCAGAGCCCCGGGACACCCUACUUUCUGGUGUCCUUACCCCAACCCAAAUCCUACCAAGGACUCUCCCCUGAAAUACUCUAGGAAAUGCUCAGUUAAUCUCUUCCCGCUCAUUUAGAGGAGCAAGUGGUGUCUGUGGGUGGGCUGGGCUGGUGGAGCUCUCCCGCCCAGCAGCUAUUAUCCAGCAGCUCCUCGGGGGGGCAGGAAAGCCACUACCUAAUCCGUCCCUGGGCUGGAUGGGUGCCUGGAUCGGCUCGGUGUGCUCAGACAGCACACACACUACACGCCUGCCUCGUAGGAGAGCUCAUGGCACAGGCAUCUGUCACCGAAACCUGUCUGCAUGAAAGGCUGUCUGCACAACUGGGGGGGAAAGAAAGGCAUGACAGCACAAUUAGUGAGAGCAAAUGAAAGGCUGUUUGAAGAGGAGGAGGGAGGAAAGGGGAGAGCUGCACAAAUCCCUGGUGGGGUUUUGGGCUUGACAUCAAAACCCCUUAACAGUGUAUUACUUCAGCCCCCAAUGUGGACAGAUGUUGAGCUGUGGCUCAAAGGAAGUCAGAAAUCUUUCCUUAGAAAAAAAUUGGCUAGGAAACUAAAGAAAAUAUUGUGAAAGAAAAGGAAAUAAAAGCCCACUAAAAAAGAUUUAUCA
RNAcentral lists this long non-coding RNA (2991 nucleotides) under Anser brachyrhynchus (Pink-footed goose). RNAcentral's name for it is "lncRNA (ENSABRG00000019038.1)". The record is from RNAcentral. Lineage: Eukaryota; Metazoa; Chordata; Aves; Anseriformes; Anatidae.